This 79-nucleotide long non-coding RNA is filed under the name Pogona vitticeps (central bearded dragon). RNAcentral's name for it is "lncRNA (ENSPVIG00000016208.1)". Lineage: Eukaryota; Metazoa; Chordata; Lepidosauria; Squamata; Agamidae. The record is from RNAcentral.
UCCACCUCGGGCACCCACCACGGCAGCCACAAAAAGAGGAAGAACAAGAACCGGCACAGGAUUGAUUUGAAGUUGAACA